This 793-nucleotide small RNA is filed under the name uncultured Fusarium. Its description in RNAcentral is "eukaryotic LSU rRNA". The stretch from base 517 to 793 matches the Rfam family "Eukaryotic large subunit ribosomal RNA", at positions 1 to 281 of the family's 3401-position model. The record is from RNAcentral. Lineage: Eukaryota; Fungi; Ascomycota; Sordariomycetes; Hypocreales; Nectriaceae.
CUUGGUCAUUUAGAGGAAGUAAAAGUCGUAACAAGGUCUCCGUUGGUGAACCAGCGGAGGGAUCAUUACCGAGUUUACAACUCCCAAACCCCUGUGAACAUACCAUAUGUUGCCUCGGCGGAUCAGCCCGUCCUUCGGGACGGCCCGCCGCAGGACCCUAAACUCUGUUUUUAGUGGAACUUCUGAGUAAAAAAACAAAUAAAUCAAAACUUUCAACAACGGAUCUCUUGGUUCUGGCAUCGAUGAAGAACGCAGCAAAAUGCGAUAAGUAAUGUGAAUUGCAGAAUUCAGUGAAUCAUCGAAUCUUUGAACGCACAUUGCGCCCGCCAGUAUUCUGGCGGGCAUGCCUGUUCGAGCGUCAUUUCAACCCUCAAGCCCAGCUUGGUGUUGGGACUUGCGUUAAUUCGCAUUCCCCAAAUUGAUUGGCGGUCACGUCGAGCUUCCAUAGCGUAGUAAUUUACACAUCGUUACUGGUAAUCGUCGCGGCCACGCCGUUAAACCCCAACUUCUGAAUGUUGACCUCGGAUCAGGUAGGAAUACCCGCUGAACUUAAGCAUAUCAAUAAGCGGAGGAAAAGAAACCAACAGGGAUUGCCCUAGUAACGGCGAGUGAAGCGGCAACAGCUCAAAUUUGAAAUCUGGCUCUCGGGCCCGAGUUGUAAUUUGUAGAGGAUGACUUUGAUGCGGUGCCUUCCGAGUUCCCUGGAACGGGACGCCAUAGAGGGUGAGAGCCCCGUCUGGUUGGAUGCCAAAUCUCUGUAAGUCUCCUUCGACGAGUCGAGUUGUUUGGGAAU